RNAcentral lists this long non-coding RNA (724 nucleotides) under Homo sapiens (human). RNAcentral describes it as "HSALNT0180383". Lineage: Eukaryota; Metazoa; Chordata; Mammalia; Primates; Hominidae. The record is from RNAcentral.
CCGGGAGGCUGGGGCCGGAAAGCGGAACCGAGAGCGCUUUCCGCCGUGCGGCGAUGAACCUCCGGGAAAGACGCUGGGAGGCCAGGAUGCCCGGCGCAACUGGACGCUCAUCGGGAGUCACGGGGUCGGCCCUCAGGGGAACGGGGACUAUCCGUAUCAACUCGGUGUUUGUUCGUUUUCUUCACCUUGCGGUUUGUGCCCUCUCCACAUUUCCUCUCUGUGUCUACCAUUCUCCUGGGGGACGUGGCAAACCGUGAGCCGCUGCGUUUGAGUUUUGGGAAACCCUGCGGAAACGCCCUGGCGCCGGUGGUUUUGCGCGUCCUACCCUGUGUCACCUCAGGGUUAUGAUCUGGCCCCUGGCAAGGCUCCCCAAGUGUGAUGCCUCCCCCCGUCCAGAUGACUGCAUUUUGAGGAUGGAGUCAGUCUGGUGGCAUUUUUUGCUUAAGUAAACAAUUGUAACCGUUUGUGUAGCAUCAGCGUUCAACAGCUGCCUGUGCAAAUCGAAAAAAGCGAAACUUUGGAAACUAGGAAGCAUCAGAUGAAUAAUUCUGAAGACUUGAUGUCAACGGGAGUAUCUUGUUUUUAAACUUUUGGUUUUCUGUUCUGGAGACAAACAGUUCAUAUGCACUAAAGAAAAAAGUGUCAUUAUUUCAGAUGCUCAUUGCCAGCAAAGAGAACUGUAUUGCAAGUCAGGCUUCACUCCCAGUAUUUUCUGAAUGUUUCA